This 303-nucleotide ribosomal RNA is filed under the name uncultured bacterium. RNAcentral's name for it is "partial 16S ribosomal RNA". It matches the Rfam family "Bacterial small subunit ribosomal RNA", at positions 507 to 808 of the family's 1533-position model. The record is from RNAcentral.
AGCAGUAGCCGCGGUAAUACGGAGGGUGCAAGCGUUAAUCGGAAUUACUGGGCGUAAAGCGCACGCAGGCGGUUUGUUAAGUCAGAUGUGAAAUCCCCGAGCUUAACUUGGGAACUGCAUUUGAAACUGGCAAGCUAGAGUCUUGUAGAGGGGGGUAGAAUUCCAGGUGUAGCGGUGAAAUGCGUAGAGAUCUGGAGGAAUACCGGUGGCGAAGGCGGCCCCCUGGACAAAGACUGACGCUCAGGUGCGAAAGCGUGGGGAGCAAACAGGAUUAGAUACCGGGUAGUCCCUGUCUCUUAUACC